Long non-coding RNA from Nymphaea colorata (pocket water lily), 2917 nucleotides. RefSeq lists it as uncharacterized. The transcript has 3 exons. The record is from RefSeq and is a predicted model, not a curated record. NCBI's taxonomy places the organism in Eukaryota, Viridiplantae, Streptophyta, Magnoliopsida, Nymphaeales, Nymphaeaceae.
GGAAACUUGAGUUUUCUUCUCUAUAUAAAACGCAUGUCUGAUUCUCUGCCAUACGGCGUUCUUUUUUGCGAUCUCUACUAGUUAGAAGGAGGGAGAGGGAGAGAGAGACGCGCUCCUGCCAUGGCAUUCCUUCAAUUCUACGUGAAUCACAGUUUGACAAGAAGGGGAAGCGUCACGAAGAGUGACUGGAGCAGCGCCUUUUCGUACGACUACAGAGUCCAAUCACUCGCUUCCCUGGUUUCUCUGGUUUCCGACGCGCUCCUUCAGGGCAUCGACAUAACUCCGGAACUAAUAGACGAGAUGUGUGCUACGGUGUGCAGCCUUGUCCGGUACAUGGUUCAAAAAUGGUCGGCGGGUGUUGGAGAUGCCGACCGCCGGAUCCCGAUCGUUACUGUCAUCGACGUGCAGGAGGAGGAAGUGGAGGGACUUGUUCGUUUCAAAAUUAGGGCAAAGAUCACUUGCUAUCCAUCAUUGCCAGCAGGUUACCAAUCCUCCUCCUCAACAUCAGCGGCGGCUGCGGCGGCAUGAUGGCAGCACGGUCAGAAGAGCAGGGGCGAGGGAGAAGGUGGUGAUUUUGUAAGCUCGGCCGCCUUCGCAACGACUGAGAGAACACCCACUUUGGGAACCGAAGGGAGUUUCCACUUUCCCCUGUUUUUGGAGCGGCAUUUUCUUCAUUGAAGUUCUGUGUACCUACUAUUCUUUUGUGUAGCAUCUUUAUAUGUGUGCCAAAUUUUGUUGCAACCAAGUCUGAACCUUUUUCAAAAGGUGCGAGCUUGUGGGGGGUUGUGUCUGUAGCUCAUCCUUAUCGCAUAAGUUGUUUUCACGUGUUGUUAUUGCAAAUUCAAUCCAUUUUGUGAAGGUUCUUUGAUUGAUAUGUAUUGCAAAUGCAAUUAUAUCAAUGAUGCACGUAUGCUUUUUGAUAAAAUAAGUAGACCAGAUACAGUCUCAUGGACGGUCAUGAUUUCUGGGUAUGUUCAGGUUGUUGGCUUCAAGAAGCUCUUACUUUGUUUCUAGACAUGCGGAAAUUGGGAGCUGAACCGGAUAAAGUUACCUUUGCUACUAUUAUUAGUGCAUGUGCUAGUCAAGGUAUGCUUGAUGAUGCGCAGCGAUUGUUCCACCAACCAUCCAACCCAAAUGUGGCUGUAUGGAAUGCCAUGAUUUCUGGCAAUGCUCAGAAUGGGCAUGAAAAUGAAGCUCUUAGAUUAUUUCAAGAAAUGAGGCUAUCUGGAGUUAAGCCUACUCAAUCAACCUAUGGAAGCGUUUUAAAUGUUUGUGCUCCUCUCACAGAUCUGGGGCUUGGCCAACAAAUUCAUUCGGAAGUGAUUAAACUUGGUCUAGAUAAGAAUGUUUAUGUUGGUAGCGCACUCAUUACUGUUUAUUCCAGGUGCUCCGUUGUAGAGGAUGCUCAUGAAGUUUUUAUUGCAGUGGAUAAUAGAAAUAUUGUCCUCCGGAAUGCAGUUCUUGGAUGCUAUGCACAAAAUAGCGAUCCUUCAAAAGUUGUGGAACUCUUUGCUUCUUUGUUGAGUUCUAGUUUCCAGCUACAUGAGGUUACCUACACUAGUAUUCUCAAUGCUUAUGCAUAUUUAUCCUGCACUGACUGGCUAGGCAGUUGCACUGUAAUAUAAUAAAGGACAAUCGGGAUCAGAGCCUUUGUGUAGGAAAUGCACUUAUUGACAUGUAUGUCAAAUUAGGAAAUAUAGGGAAUGCAAGACAGCAAUUUGACCUUAUGAUGCUCAAAGAUACUAUUACGUGGAACUCGAUGGUGGCUGGGUAUGUCCAAGGCAAUGAUGUGGAUGAGGCCAUUUAUUUAUUCUGCCAUAUGAUGUGGCAGGGCAUUAGUCCUGAUGAAGUGUCCUUUGUCUGUGCCCUCAGUAUGCUUGCCAAUUUAGAUGCGCUUGAAGGCUUGAAGCAGGCAAGCAAAUUCAUGCAUUUGCUAUCAAGUCAGGAUUUGAACUGAAUUUAUAUGUAGGCAGCGCCCUUAUUGAUAUGUAUGCUAAAUGUGCUUCAAUGGAAGAAGCACAUAAUAUUCUUGCUCAGAUGCCAGAGUCGAAUGUAGUGUCAAGGAAUGCACUGAUAGCCGGUUAUGUGCAGAAUGAUCAAGCAAUGGAAGCAAUAGAUGUUUUUCGACAGAUGCAAGCAGCAGAAUUGAAGGCAAUAGCAUUCACAUUUUCCAGUAUUUUAGUUGCAUGCUAUGGUCUAUGUGAAUUGAAUAUGGGGAAACAAGUUCAUGGUUAUGUAAUCAAGACUGGACUUAUUUCUGACGCAUUUUUUGGGUAUUACACUUUUCGGCAUGUAGGCAAGAUGCCAAACCAGGGGAGACAUGCUUCCGUUACAGGCACUUUCAGCUAAAGAAAACCCAAUGAACAAAUGAGUAGCUGAAGACCUGUUGAAAACAGUGCAGAAACUGGGAAAUCAAGAAGGAUGUGAAGUUAUUCAUGAGUGCUUCAUCGUACCAAUAGCAUUAACAAGGUAUUAGCACAAAGUAUUGAUACCUGUGAAUGUGUGAUAUAACAAGUGGUCCAUUAUGGUGAUUUAGCGCUCAUCAGAAUCAGAGGACAGAAGGAGGAAAUAACUUAUUUUCAUAACUUGCUGUCCUUCCACCCAUUAAUACCUCCAUUCUCAUAAGAAGAGAGGGAUGUGGUGUAAGAUUACACUCUCUUGAUUUUAUCUGUAGAUUGGAUGGCUCAGCAGCACCUUUAAUGUGUUCUGAAAAGAAAAAAGACAACACAUGCUGCUUGAUUCAAUGAAGCAGGGCAUAUGACACAUCAAUUAGGACGUCAGGUAGGAAUAUUCUGAUGGUUUAUUCAGUUAAUAACAAUCUUUAAGACAUUACUAAUUUUAGCAAAGAAUGGACCACAUCUCCCAUAAUGCGGAUGGGAGCAGAUAAAGAAAGUCAUGGUGUCUAGUAGGAACAAUA